AAAGGGGUGUCACAGGCCGACCUCUCCAGGGACCCGCAGGCCCACGGCCGGAUUUGCAGUUCAAGAGCACCGGCCUCACGCGCGGGUCAGGGCUCUUGCCCCGCCCCCGAGUCUGCCCCGCCCUUCUUUUCGCAUUGCGGGGCGGCUGGAGGUUGGCACUGUGCCCCUGUACCCCACGUGGCGCUCGGCCAGGGCUGGGGGAGGGGGUCUGGAGAGGCAAAUCCAGAGAGAAGUCUCCCACACACACACCGCCCGUGCAGGGCUGGGCUGCGGCUGCCUCUGGGAGGGGUCCUGGGUAGCUAAGCAGAGAGGGCUGCGGGAAGGAGUGACGUCAGGGUGAGUGGGUGCCCAAGAAGGGGUGUGUAGGAGAUCGGGAAUUCGAGAGGACGGAUCAGGCCCGGUCGAGGGAGAAGACAGGUCAAGGGGAGAGAAAAGAGAAAGAGCCGCUAUAGAGUGGGGCUGCGGGCCAGGUGGAGUAGAGACCGCUGUUGUUAAGGGAAGCUAAAAGAAAAAGAA
This 516-nucleotide long non-coding RNA is filed under the name Rattus norvegicus (Norway rat). RNAcentral describes it as "long non-coding RNA NONRATT003185". Lineage: Eukaryota; Metazoa; Chordata; Mammalia; Rodentia; Muridae. The record is from RNAcentral.